Molecule: ribosomal RNA, 561 nt
Filed under: Hepatozoon felis
Lineage: Eukaryota; Apicomplexa; Hepatozoidae
Description: bacterial SSU rRNA
Rfam family: Eukaryotic small subunit ribosomal RNA
Source: RNAcentral
UUGUAAUUGGAAUGAUAGAAAUUUAAACACUUUUUAAAGUAUCAAUUGGAGGGCAAGUCUGGUGCCAGCAGCCGCGGUAAUUCCAGCUCCAAUAGCGUAUAUUAAAAUUGUUGCAGUUAAAAAGCUCGUAGUUGAAUUUCUGCUAAAAAUAACCGGUCUGCUUUUAAUAAAGGUGGUAUCUUGGUGUGUUUUYAGCAAUAAUGUCCUUUGAAAUGUUUUUUACUUCAUUGUAAGAAAUUAUAUUCAGGAUUUUUACUUUGAGAAAAUUAGAGUGUUUCUAGCAGGCUAACGCUUUGAAUACUGCAGCAUGGAAUAAUAAAAUAGGAUUUUGGUUCUACAUUAUUGGUUUUAAGAGCUAAAUUAAUGAUUGAUAGGGACAGUUGGGGGCAUUUGUAUUUAACUGUCAGAGGUGAAAUUCUUAGAUUUGUUAAAGACAAACUACUGCGAAAGCAUUUGCCAAAGAUGUUUUCAUUAAUCAAGAACGAAAGUUAGGGGAUCGAAGACGAUCAGAUACCGUCGUAGUCUUAACUAUAAACUAUGCCGACUAGAGAUUGGAGGUCG